UACGAAGGGGGCUAGCGUUGCUCGGAAUCACUGGGCGUAAAGCGCACGUAGGCGGCUUGCUAAGUCAGGGGUGAAAUCCUGGAGCUCAACUCCAGAACUGCCUUUGAUACUGGCGACCUUGAGUCCGGGAGAGGUGAGUGGACCUGCGAGUGUAGAGGUGAAAUUCGUAGAUAUUCGCAAGAACACCAGUGGCGAAGGCGGCUCACUGGCCCGGUACUGACGCUGAGGUGCGAAAGCGUGGGGAGCAAACAGG
RNAcentral lists this ribosomal RNA (253 nucleotides) under uncultured bacterium. RNAcentral describes it as "partial 16S ribosomal RNA". It matches the Rfam family "Bacterial small subunit ribosomal RNA", at positions 524 to 776 of the family's 1533-position model. The record is from RNAcentral.